AUAUAUAUUUAAAUAUAUUUUUAUUUCAUAGAAAAUCCAUUAAAAACAUAAAGUCUUACAAAAGACUAAUCCAAACCAAAUCUUAUAUAAAAACAUCAACGACUCUUAAAUAACAAGAGUACUAAUUUUAUGAGAUAAGGGGCAAAGAGAAACAAACUUCCCCUAUCGACAAUCACACAUUCUACCAAACACAAUCAACUAACUUGAUCAAACAAAUUUUCUUUUCUAAAUCUUACCGCCUAAACAAAGCAUUCACGUGCCAUCAGCCAUAACUUUUUACCUUGAAAUCAUCACUUUGUAGUUCAUAGAAGAAGAGGUUGGAAGAGGAAGAUCGCUUG
RNAcentral lists this long non-coding RNA (338 nucleotides) under Arabidopsis lyrata. RNAcentral's name for it is "long non-coding RNA (ALYR_LNC002226)". Lineage: Eukaryota; Viridiplantae; Streptophyta; Magnoliopsida; Brassicales; Brassicaceae. The record is from RNAcentral.